RNAcentral lists this transfer RNA (74 nucleotides) under Omnitrophica WOR_2 bacterium RIFCSPHIGHO2_01_FULL_52_10. Its description in RNAcentral is "tRNA-Gly". It matches the Rfam family "tRNA". From Rfam's summary of the family: Transfer RNA (tRNA) molecules are approximately 80 nucleotides in length. Their secondary structure includes four short double-helical elements and three loops (D, anti-codon, and T loops). Further hydrogen bonds mediate the characteristic L-shaped molecular structure. tRNAs have two regions of fundamental functional importance: the anti-codon, which is responsible for specific mRNA codon recognition, and the 3' end, to which the tRNAs corresponding amino acid is attached (by aminoacyl-tRNA synthetases). tRNAs cope with the degeneracy of the genetic code in two manners: having more than one tRNA (with a specific anti-codon) for a particular amino acid; and 'wobble' base-pairing, i.e. permitting non-standard base-pairing at the 3rd anti-codon position. Lineage: Bacteria; Pseudomonadati; Candidatus Omnitrophota. The record is from RNAcentral.
GCGAGGGUAAUUCAAUGGUAGAAUGUAAGCUUCCCAAGCUUAUCACGCGGGUUCGAUUCCCGUCCCUCGCUUCA